This is a small nuclear RNA of Papaver somniferum (opium poppy), 105 nucleotides long. The record is from RefSeq and is a predicted model, not a curated record. NCBI's taxonomy places the organism in Eukaryota, Viridiplantae, Streptophyta, Magnoliopsida, Ranunculales, Papaveraceae.
GUCCCUUCGGGGACAUCUGAUAAAAAAGGAACAAUACACAGAAGAUUAGCAUGGCCCCCCUCCUCAAGGGUGACACACACAAAUCGAGAAAUGGUCUAAAUUUCC